ANCGAACAGGAUUAGAUACCCUGGUAGUNCACGCCGUAAACGAUGAGUGCUAGGUGUUAGGCCCUUUCCGGGGCUUAGUGCCGCAGCUAACGCAUUAAGCACUCCGCCUGGGGAGUACGACCGCAAGGUUGAAACUCAAAGGAAUUGACGGGGGCCCGCACAAGCGGUGGAGCAUGUGGUUUAAUUCGAAGCAACGCGAAGAACCUUACCAGGUCUUGACAUCCCGAUGCCCGCUCUAGAGAUAGAGUUUUACUUCGGUACAUCGGUGACAGGUGGUGCAUGGUUGUCGUCAGCUCGUGUCGUGAGAUGUUGGGUUAAGUCCCGCAACGAGCGCAACCCUUAUUGUUAGUUGCCAUCAUUCAGUUGGGCACUCUAGCGAGACUGCCGGUAAUAAACCGGAGGAAGGUGGGGAUGACGUCAAAUCAUCAUGCCCCUUAUGACCUGGGCUACACACGUGCUACAAUGGCUGGUACAACGAGUCGCAAGUCGGUGACGGCGAGCUAAUCUCUUAAAGCCAGUCUCAGUUCGGAUUGUAGGCUGCAACUCGCCUACAUGAAGUCGGAAUCGCUAGUAAUCGCGGAUCAGCACGCCGCGGUGAAUACGUUCCCGGGCCUUGUACACACCGCCCGUCACACCACGAGAGUUUGUAACACCCGAAGUCGGUGAGGUANCCUUUU
This 677-nucleotide ribosomal RNA is filed under the name uncultured bacterium. RNAcentral's name for it is "bacterial SSU rRNA". It matches the Rfam family "Bacterial small subunit ribosomal RNA", at positions 767 to 1444 of the family's 1533-position model. The record is from RNAcentral.